Molecule: ribosomal RNA, 482 nt
Filed under: uncultured bacterium
Lineage: Bacteria
Description: partial 16S ribosomal RNA
Rfam family: Bacterial small subunit ribosomal RNA
Source: RNAcentral
AUUGAACGCUGGCGGCAUGCCUUACACAUGCAAGUCGAACGGUAACAGGUCUUCGGAUGCUGACGAGUGGCGAACGGGUGAGUAAUACAUCGGAACGUGCCUAGUAGUGGGGGAUAACUACUCGAAAGAGUGGCUAAUACCGCAUGAGAUCUACGGAUGAAAGCAGGGGAUCGCAAGACCUUGUGCUACUAGAGCGGCCGAUGGCAGAUUAGGUAGUUGGUGGGAUAAAAGCUUACCAAGCCGACGAUCUGUAGCUGGUCUGAGAGGACGAUCAGCCACACUGGGACUGAGACACGGCCCAGACUCCUACGGGAGGCAGCAGUGGGGAAUUUUGGACAAUGGGCGCAAGCCUGAUCUAGCAAUGCCGCGUGCAGGAUGAAGGCCUUCGGGUUGUAAACUGCUUUUGUACGGAACGAAAAGCCCUGGGUUAAUACCCUGGGGUCAUGACGGUACCGUAAGAAUAAGCACCGGCUAACUACGUG